Molecule: ribosomal RNA, 465 nt
Filed under: uncultured bacterium
Lineage: Bacteria
Description: partial 16S ribosomal RNA
Rfam family: Bacterial small subunit ribosomal RNA
Source: RNAcentral
GAUGAACGCUGGCGGCGUGCUUAACACAUGCAAGUCGAACGGAAAGGCUCCUUCUUGCAGGGGUGCUCGAGUGGCGAACGGGUGAGUAACGCGUGGGUGAUCUGCCCUGCACUUCGGGAUAAGCCUGGGAAACUGGGUCUAAUACCGGAUAGGACGAUGGUUUGGAUUCCAUUGUGGAAAGUUUUUCGGUGUGGGUUGAGCUCGCGGCCUAUCAGCCUGUUGGUGGGGUAAUGGCCUACGAAGGCGUCGACGGGUAGCCGGCCUGAGAGGGUGUACGGCCACAUUGGGACUGAGAUACGGCCCAGACUCCUACGGGAGGCAGCAGUGGGGAAUAUUGCACAAUGGGCGCAAGCCUGAUGCAGCGACGCCGCGUGGGGGAUGACGGCCUUCGGGUUGUAAACUCCUUUCGCUAGGGACGAAGCGCAAGUGACGGUACCUGGAGAAGAAGCACCGGCUAACUACGUG